This 31-nucleotide non-coding RNA is filed under the name Mus musculus (house mouse). Lineage: Eukaryota; Metazoa; Chordata; Mammalia; Rodentia; Muridae. The record is from RNAcentral.
UGGAAAUAGAGAAUUGCCCAAAACUUCAAUC